UACGGAGGAUCCAAGCGUUAUCCGGAUUUAUUGGGUUUAAAGGGUGCGUAGGCGGCCUAUUAAGUCAGGGGUGAAAGACGGUAGCUUAACUAUCGCAGUGCCUUUGAUACUGAUGGGCUUGAAUACACUUGAGGUAGGCGGAAUGUGACAAGUAGCGGUGAAAUGCAUAGAUAUGUCACAGAACACCAAUUGCGAAGGCAGCUUACUAAAGUGUGAUUGACGCUGAGGCACGAAAGCGUGGGGAGUCAAACAGGA
Molecule: ribosomal RNA, 255 nt
Filed under: uncultured bacterium
Lineage: Bacteria
Description: partial 16S ribosomal RNA
Rfam family: Bacterial small subunit ribosomal RNA
Source: RNAcentral